Molecule: ribosomal RNA, 468 nt
Filed under: uncultured bacterium
Lineage: Bacteria
Description: partial 16S ribosomal RNA
Rfam family: Bacterial small subunit ribosomal RNA
Source: RNAcentral
GACGAACGCUGGCGGCGUGCUUAACACAUGCAAGUCGAACGGAAAGGCCCUGCUUUUGUGGGGUGCUCGAGUGGCGAACGGGUGAGUAACACGUGAGUAACCUGCCCUUGACUUUGGGAUAACUUAAGGAAACUGGGGCUAAUACCGGCUAGGAGCUCCUGCUGAAUGGUGGGGGUGGGAAAGUUUCGUCGGUUGGGGAUGUACUAGCGUCUCAUCAGCUUGGUGGUGGGGUGGUGGCUUAGCAAGGCCUUGCCGGGUAGCCGGGCUGCUAGGGUGACCUGACACGUUAGGACUGGACAACGGCCCAGACUACUACGGGAGGCGGCAGUGGGGAAUAUUGCACAAUGGGCGGAAGGCUGAUGUAGCCAAGCCGCGUGGGGGAUGACGGCCUUCGGGUUGUAAACCGCUUCCGCCUGUGACGAAGCGUGAGUGACGGUAAUUGGUAAAGAAGCACCGGCUAACUACGUG